Oreochromis niloticus (Nile tilapia) is the source of this 233-nucleotide long non-coding RNA. RefSeq lists it as uncharacterized. NCBI's taxonomy places the organism in Eukaryota, Metazoa, Chordata, Actinopteri, Cichliformes, Cichlidae. The transcript is spliced from 2 exons. The record is from RefSeq and is a predicted model, not a curated record.
AGACAUUUAACUUUUGCAUGAAGACCGUCCCAACCAAUGGCAUUUUAUUGAUAAAACUGGGCUGUGUGAUUGGUGGAUCUAUUCUCACCAACACAGUGAGAAGAGGUUUAAAAAGUGUCCCAGCACAGCAUUCACUGCAAGCUGAAUGACAGCAAUGGCUCACCUGAAGUUCCUCCCACUCCUCCUGUGGGUUGGUUUCACGGUGUGCACAGAGGUGGAUUUGCACAAGAGAA